RNAcentral lists this unclassified non-coding RNA (275 nucleotides) under Bombus terrestris (buff-tailed bumblebee). RNAcentral's name for it is "misc RNA ENSBTSG00005038322.1". The record is from RNAcentral. Lineage: Eukaryota; Metazoa; Arthropoda; Insecta; Hymenoptera; Apidae.
AGUUUACGCAGUAGAUUUUUUCUUUGCUUACUGCUGCUUCUUUUUUUAUCUUGCACUCGCCUGGCCCGUGCGGUUCAGUGCAUUUUACACAGCGGUAGUUUAGGUUACAGUUUUGUGCUGUGUGGCCUAUUCGCUGGCAUUUGUAGCACUGCGUGAUAUCGUUUUUUUUUUAAUUUUCUCCCAUGCUAUUUUCAGAUAGUUAAGUCUGUUUAUUUUUAGUAGGUUCCCAAUGUUGCUAUCGGGGGAUACUUGAAUUAUAUAGAUUGGGAGCAAUA